RNAcentral lists this ribosomal RNA (713 nucleotides) under uncultured bacterium. Its description in RNAcentral is "bacterial SSU rRNA". It matches the Rfam family "Bacterial small subunit ribosomal RNA", at positions 59 to 739 of the family's 1533-position model. The record is from RNAcentral.
CAGUCGAACGAAACUUCUUUAUCACCGAGUGCUUGCACUCACCGAUAAAGAGUUGAGUGGCGAACGGGUGAGUAACACGUGGGCAACCUGCCCAAAAGAGGGGGAUAACACUUGGAAACAGGUGCUAAUACCGCAUAACCAUAGUUACCGCAUGGUAACUAUGUAAAAGGUGGCUAUGCUACCGCUUUUGGAUGGGCCCGCGGCGCAUUAGCUAGUUGGUGGGGUAAAGGCUUACCAAGGCAAUGAUGCGUAGCCGAACUGAGAGGUUGAUCGGCCACAUUGGGACUGAGACACGGCCCAAACUCCUACGGGAGGCAGCAGUAGGGAAUCUUCCACAAUGGGCGAAAGCCUGAUGGAGCAACGCCGCGUGGGUGAAGAAGGUCUUCGGAUCGUAAAACCCUGUUGUUAGAGAAGAAAGUGCGUGAGAGUAACUGUUCACGUUUCGACGGUAUCUAACCAGAAAGCCACGGCUAACUACGUGCCAGCAGCCGCGGUAAUACGUAGGUGGCAAGCGUUAUCCGGAUUUAUUGGGCGUAAAGGGAACGCAGGCGGUCUUUUAAGUCUGAUGUGAAAGCCUUCGGCUUAACCGGAGUAGUGCAUUGGAAACUGGGAGACUUGAGUGCAGAAGAGGAGAGUGGAACUCCAUGUGUAGCGGUGAAAUGCGUAGAUAUAUGGAAGAACACCAGUGGCGAAAGCGGCUCUCUGGUCUGUAA